RNAcentral lists this ribosomal RNA (490 nucleotides) under uncultured bacterium. RNAcentral's name for it is "partial 16S ribosomal RNA". It matches the Rfam family "Bacterial small subunit ribosomal RNA", at positions 30 to 507 of the family's 1533-position model. The record is from RNAcentral.
AUUGAACGCUGGCGGCAGGCCUAACACAUGCAAGUCGAACGGUAACAGGAAGAAGCUUGCUUCUUUGCUGACGAGUGGCGGACGGGUGAGUAAUGUCUGGGAAACUGCCUGAUGGAGGGGGAUAACUACUGGAAACGGUAGCUAAUACCGCAUAACGUCGCAAGACCAAAGAGGGGGACCUUCGGGCCCCUUGCCAUCGGCUGUGCCCAGAUGGGAUUAGCUAGUAGGUGGGGUAACGGCUCACCUAGGCGACGAUCCCUAGCUGGUCUGAGAGGAUGACCAGCCACACUGGAACUGAGACACGGUCCAGACUCCUACGGGAGGCAGCAGUGGGGAAUGUUGCACAAUGGGCGCAAGCCUGAUGCAGCCAUGCCGCGUGUAUGAAGAAGGCCUUCGGGUUGUAAAGUACUUUCAGCGGGGAGGAAGGGAGUAAAGUUAAUACCUUUGCUCAUUGACGUUACCCGCAGAAGAAGCACCGGCUAACUCCGUG